This 264-nucleotide long non-coding RNA is filed under the name Linum usitatissimum (flax). Its description in RNAcentral is "long non-coding RNA (LUSI_LNC000678)". Lineage: Eukaryota; Viridiplantae; Streptophyta; Magnoliopsida; Malpighiales; Linaceae. The record is from RNAcentral.
GAAUAAUGAAUAAAAAUAAAAUAGUUGGGAAUUAAGCAAGAGAAGAGAAGAGGAAGGUGGGUUUGCAGGGAUGGAAUUAGUAGUAUAUAUAGUAGUGAAAUGAUGAUAGAAUAAAUCAUCCCAACUAUCCAUUCUCUCAAUUAAUUCCAUAUAUUCCACUCUACUUGUACUACCUAGCUACUUUAAGGAUGCCUACUGACAUGUUGGAAGUUCAUUUGAAUUCCUCCGCUAAUGAUGUUUGGGGUGCCCUCACCGCCGCUACAA